Molecule: ribosomal RNA, 545 nt
Filed under: uncultured Bacteroidota bacterium
Lineage: Bacteria; Pseudomonadati; Bacteroidota
Description: bacterial SSU rRNA
Rfam family: Bacterial small subunit ribosomal RNA
Source: RNAcentral
CAGAUCUAGCUUGCUAGAUGCUGACGAGUGGCGCACGGGUGCGUAACGCGUAUACAAUCUACCUUUAACUGAGGGAUAGCCCAGAGAAAUUUGGAUUAAUACCUCAUAGUAUUAUAAUUAGGCAUCUUUUUAUAAUUAAAACUCCGGUGGUUAAAGAUGAGUAUGCGUACUAUUAGCUAGUUGGUAAGGUAAAAGCUUACCAAGGCAACGAUAGUUAGGGGGCCUGAAAGGGUGAUCCCCCACACUGGUACUGAGACACGGACCAGACUCCUACGGGAGGCAGCAGUGAGGAAUAUUGCACAAUGGAGGAAACUCUGAUGCAGCCAUGCCGCGUGCAGGAAGAAUGCCCUAUGGGUUGUAAACUGCUUUUAUACAAGAAGAAACCUCGGUACGUGUACCGACUUGACGGUAUUGUAUGAAUAAGCACCGGCUAACUCCGUGCCAGCAGCCGCGGUAAUACGGAGGGUGCAAGCGUUAUCCGGAUUUAUUAGGUUUAAAGGGUCCGCAGGCGGAAUAUUAAGUCAGUGGUGAAAGCCUACAGCUCA